AGUUUGAUCCUGGCUCAGGAUGAACGCUGGCGGUCUGCUUAACACAUGCAAGUCGAACGGGAUCCUUCGGGAUUUAGUGGCGGACGGGUGAGUAACGCGUGAGAAUCUGCCCUUAGGUUGGGGACAACAGUUGGAAACGACUGCUAAUACCCAAUGUGCCGAGAGGUGAAAGGUUAACUGCCUGGGGAUGAGCUCGCGUCUGAUUAGCUAGUUGGAGUGGUAACGGCACACCAAGGCGACGAUCAGUAGCUGGUCUGAGAGGAUGAUCAGCCACACUGGGACUGAGACACGGCCCAGACUCCUACGGGAGGCAGCAGUGGGGAAUUUUCCGCAAUGGGCGAAAGCCUGACGGAGCAAGACCGCGUGAGGGAGGAAGGCCUAUUGGUUGUAAACCUCUUUUGAUAGGGAAGAACACAAUGACGGUACCUAUCGAAUCAGCAUCGGCUAACUCCGUGCCAGCAGCCGCGGUAAUACGGAGGAUGCAAGCGUUAUCCGGAUUUAUUGGGCGUAAAGCGUCCGUAGGUGGCAAACCAAGUCAGUUGUUAAAGCGUAGCGCUUAACUCUAUAAGGGCAAUUGAAACUGGUUAGCUAGAGUGCGAUAGGGGCAAGGGGAAUUCCCAGUGUAGCGGUGAAAUGCGUAGAUAUUGGGAAGAACAUCGGUGGCGAAGGCGCCUUGCUGGGUCUGCACUGACACUGAGGGACGAAAGCUAGGGGAGCGAAAGGGAUUAGAUACCCCUGUAGU
This 742-nucleotide ribosomal RNA is filed under the name cyanobacterium enrichment culture clone 5_16_5.5.3_F12-T7. RNAcentral's name for it is "bacterial SSU rRNA". It matches the Rfam family "Bacterial small subunit ribosomal RNA", at positions 10 to 794 of the family's 1533-position model. The record is from RNAcentral. Lineage: Bacteria; Bacillati; Cyanobacteriota.